RNAcentral lists this ribosomal RNA (869 nucleotides) under uncultured bacterium. Its description in RNAcentral is "bacterial SSU rRNA". It matches the Rfam family "Bacterial small subunit ribosomal RNA", at positions 8 to 916 of the family's 1533-position model. The record is from RNAcentral.
AGAGUUUGAUCCUGGCUCAGGAUGAACGCUGGCGGUAUGCUUUACACAUGCAAGUCGUACGGGAGUUUUUAACUCAAGUGGCGGACGGGUGAGUAACACGUAAGAAUUUGCCUUUAGGAGGGGGAUAACAACUGGAAACGGUUGCUAAUACCCCAUAUGCUUUCGAGUGAAACGGAUUUUUCCGCCUAAAGAGAAGCUUGCGGCUGAUUAGCUUGUUGGUAAGGUAAUGGCUUACCAAGGCGACGAUCAGUAUCUGGUUUGAGAGGACGAUCAGACACACUGGAACUGAGACACGGUCCAGACUCCUACGGGAGGCAGCAGUGGGGAAUUUUCCGCAAUGGGCGAAAGCCUGACGGAGCAAUACCGCGUGAGGGAUGACGGCCUAUGGGUUGUAAACCUCUUUUUUCAGGGAGGAAUAAAUGACGUGUACCUGAAGAAUAAGCAUCGGCUAACUCCGUGCCAGCAGCCGCGGUAAGACGGGGGAUGCAAGUGUUAUCCGGAAUCACUGGGCGUAAAGCGUCUGUAGGUGGUUUAAUAAGUCAACUGUUAAAUCUUGAGGCUCAACCUCGAAAUCGCAGUCGAAACUAUUAGACUAGAGUAUAGUAGGGGUAAAGGGAAUUUCCAGUGGAGCGGUGAAAUGCGUAGAUAUUGGAAAGAACACCGAUGGCGAAGGCACUUUACUGGGCUAUUACUAACACUGAGAGACGAAAGCUAGGGUAGCAAAUGGGAUUAGAUACCCCAGUAGUCCUAGCCGUAAACAAUGGAUACUAGAUGUUGAACAGAUCGACCUGUGCAGUAUCAAAGCUAACGCGUUAAGUAUCCCGCCUGGGAAGUAUGCUCGCAAGAGUGAAACUCAAAGGAAUUGACGG